RNAcentral lists this ribosomal RNA (253 nucleotides) under uncultured bacterium. Its description in RNAcentral is "partial 16S ribosomal RNA". It matches the Rfam family "Bacterial small subunit ribosomal RNA", at positions 524 to 776 of the family's 1533-position model. The record is from RNAcentral.
UACGGAGGGUGCAAGCGUUAUCCGGAUUCACUGGGUUUAAAGGGUGCGUAGGCGGGCGUGUAAGUCAGCGGUGAAAUCCCCGAGCUUAACUUGGGAACUGCCGUUGAUACUAUAUAUCUUGAAUGUCGUGGAGGUUAGCGGAAUAUGUCAUGUAGCGGUGAAAUGCUUAGAUAUGACAUAGAACACCCAUUGCGAAGGCAGCUAACUACGCGAAUAUUGACGCUGAGGCACGAAAGCGUGGGGAUCAAACAGG